GAAGAAGKRAGACCGCACCUGAUCCUGUGCCCAGUGAAACGCUUUUCGCCCAGUUGGAGUGGCGCUGAACGUGUCCCAUCAAUAUCCCUCGAUCUUUUAAACAGUGCGCAUUUUAGGAUUUUCUGGACUUUUCUUUAUUUUGUAUCGUUUUGGCGUGGACAUGGCACAUUUUUAAAGAGGGCUAAUGAGAGCAGAGACGUAGUUAUUUUACUAGCUAGGUGUUUAGUUAGGUAACUAGUGGAAGCUAGCWUAGCCACAUGGUGUACAUGUCCAGAACUGUCAUGCGACGUGGUUGUUGGGCCGAUGCGUUGCGAUUUCUUUCGGGCAUGGAUUACACAUUUAAACAACGUUUUACCCGGUUUAUCUGAAUUCUGGGCAACCCAGUUCAACUUUGUUUUAACGUCGCAGGCUGGGGUUCGUAUGGUCAAGUGUUGAAGUUAACGUUGCUCUUCAUGAGCACGGUGGUAGUCGACCAAAGGAGGCGAAGUAUGAAUCAACACCCAAGUGAAGGGAGAGCCAUGGGAGCUAGUGGAACCAAUAGCACCCCAUCGACACCAAAAAGAGACCAAAGACCGUUGUUGUCACACACUGUUUCGUAUCAGACAAAACCUCGGACUGUGCCGAGUGGAGAGGGUCAUCCUGUCCGAUGACCUGAGCGACGUCCGCGCCUUUUUCCAGCACCUCGUCACCACACAGAUAAUCGUCAAAGCAGGAGAAGCCUUACCGGUAUGCAAAUGAAGGAGCCAAAUGAACGUCUCGUUCACCUAAAAAGAUCCGUACAAAAAGAACUGUUCGUUAGCGACGACCAAUCACUAGGCUGGAUGAGUCGUUUUUAGCGAACACUGGCAAGUCUCAACAUGGGCUUCGAAUCCUUGGACAAACCAACGAGAUGUUUGUAUUGACAUUUACUCCUGAGGUGCUGACUUGCUGCACCCUCGAUAA
Non-coding RNA from Salvelinus sp. IW2-2015, 942 nucleotides. Lineage: Eukaryota; Metazoa; Chordata; Actinopteri; Salmoniformes; Salmonidae. The record is from RefSeq and is a predicted model, not a curated record.